AUUGAACGCUGGCGGCAGGCCUAACACAUGCAAGUCGAGCGGAUGAAGGGAGCUUGCUCCUGGAUUCAGCGGCGGACGGGUGAGUAAUGCCUAGGAAUCUGCCUGGUAGUGGGGGAUAACGUCCGGAAACGGGCGCUAAUACCGCAUACGACCUGAGGGAGAAAGAGGGGGAUCUUCGGACCUCACGCUAUCAGAUGAGCCUAGGUCGGAUUAGCUAGUUGGUGGGGUAAGGGCCUACCAAGGCGACGAUCCGUAACUGGUCUGAGAGGAUGAUCAGUCACACUGGAACUGAGACACGGUCCAGGCUCCUACGGGAGGCAGCAGUGGGGAAUAUUGGACAAUGGGCGAAAGCCUGAUCCAGCCAUGCCGCGUGUGUGAAGAAGGUCUUCGGAGUGUAAAGAACUUUAAGUGGGGAGGAAGGACAGUAAGUUAAUACCUUGCUGUUUUGACGGUACCAACAGAAGAAGCACCGGCUAACUUCGUG
This 484-nucleotide ribosomal RNA is filed under the name uncultured bacterium. RNAcentral describes it as "partial 16S ribosomal RNA". It matches the Rfam family "Bacterial small subunit ribosomal RNA", at positions 30 to 507 of the family's 1533-position model. The record is from RNAcentral.